Molecule: ribosomal RNA, 522 nt
Filed under: uncultured bacterium
Lineage: Bacteria
Description: bacterial SSU rRNA
Rfam family: Bacterial small subunit ribosomal RNA
Source: RNAcentral
UUGUAAUGAGGAUUUCCCUUCGGGGACACGAAGACAGGUGUUGCAUGGUUGUCGUCAGCUCGUGUCGUGAGAUGUUAGGUUAAGUCCUGCAACGAGCGCAACCCUCAUAUACAGUUGCCAAUAUUAAGUUAGGAACUCUGUAUAGACUGCCGUGGUUAACACGGAGGAAGGUGGGGAUGACGUCAAAUCAUCACGGCCCUUACGUCCUGGGCUACACACGUGCUACAAUGGCUAUUACAAAGAGUAGCGAUACAGUAAUGUGGAGCGAAUCUCAAAAAGAUAGUCUCAGUUCGGAUUGUGGGCUGCAACUCGCCCACAUGAAGUCGGAGUUGCUAGUAAUCCCGAAUCAGCAUGUCGGGGUGAAUGCGUUCCCGGGUCUUGUACACACCGCCCGUCACGCCAUGGGAGUUGGGAGUGCCCAAAGUCACUGACUUAACCGCAAGGGGAGAGGUGCCUAAGGUAAUACCAAUGACUGGGGUGAAGUCGUAACAAGGUAGCCGUAUCGGAAGGUGCGGCUGGAUC